AUCCGUCUAGCACGAGAGACGAGGUGAU
RNAcentral lists this small RNA (28 nucleotides) under Bombyx mori (domestic silkworm). RNAcentral describes it as "ovarian small RNA-1693". Lineage: Eukaryota; Metazoa; Arthropoda; Insecta; Lepidoptera; Bombycidae. The record is from RNAcentral.